This 579-nucleotide ribosomal RNA is filed under the name uncultured bacterium. RNAcentral's name for it is "bacterial SSU rRNA". It matches the Rfam family "Bacterial small subunit ribosomal RNA", at positions 86 to 663 of the family's 1533-position model. The record is from RNAcentral.
GAAUUCUUAGUGGCGAACGGGUGAGUAACGCGUAGGCACCUGCCCUUUAGACGGGGACAACAUUCCGAAAGGAGUGCUAAUACCGGAUGUGGCCGCAUGGCGAAAGAUGGCCUUCAAGAAGCUAUCGCUAAAGGAUGGGCCUGCGUCUGAUUAGCUAGUUGGUAGUGUAACGGACUACCAAGGCGAUGAUCAGUAGCCGGUCUGAGAGGAUGAACGGCCACAUUGGGACUGAGACACGGCCCAAACUCCUACGGGAGGCAGCAGUGGGGAAUCUUCCGCAAUGGACGAAAGUCUGACGGAGCAACGCCGCGUGAGUGAUGAAGGAUUUCGGUCUGUAAAGCUCUGUUGUUUAUGACGAAGUGCAGUGUGUGAACAAUGCAUUGCAAUGACGGUAGUAAACGAGGAAGCCACGGCUAACUACGUGCCAGCAGCCGCGGUAAUACGUAGGUGGCGAGCGUUGUCCGGAAUUAUUGGGCGUAAAGAGCAUGUAGGCGGCUUAAUAAGUCGAGCGUGAAAAUGCGGGGCUCAACCCCGUAUGGCGCUGGAAACUGUUAGGCUUGAGUGCAGGAGAGGAAAGGG